This is a long non-coding RNA of Acomys russatus (golden spiny mouse), 438 nucleotides long. RefSeq lists it as uncharacterized. NCBI's taxonomy places the organism in Eukaryota, Metazoa, Chordata, Mammalia, Rodentia, Muridae. The transcript is spliced from 3 exons. The record is from RefSeq and is a predicted model, not a curated record.
CAACACUGAGAAGCAGUGUCUGAGGCACUAAGAAAGUGACAGAUCCUAGUCACUGGGACACCAGAGCUGGCCUCCUCUGACCUUCGAGCCCUGACCCAACUCUCCUCAGCCCCCCACAGUGGAGAGACACAGCCCCUUUCUCUUUCUCCCCAAGCUCUCGAUGGAGCAGGGUCGACCCCGGAGCAGCCUCAGCCUGGCCAGCAGCGCUUCGACAGUUUCUUCUCUGAGCAGCCUGAGUACCAAGAAGCCUACCCGGGCAGUACACAAGGUCCAUGCCUUUGGGAAAAGGAACCAUGCCCUUCGGCGAGACCCGAACCUUCCUGUGCACAUCCGUGGCUGGCUGCAUAAGCAGGUGAGGUUGGACAAGGCUGAGGUCCCUGGAUGCUGUGACUGGCUACUGACUUUCCUUCCACAUUGCCACCACCUGCUGCUUCUGCC